AGCGUCAGUUUACACUUGACGCGUUCUUUCUCGAGCUACUACAGAAACGGCUGCAGGAAGAAGAAGAAAUCCGUGUUGCUCCGGAGCGUCAGUUUACGCUUGACGCGUUUUUUGAGGAGCUACUGCAGAGACGUCUGCAGUGAGAAGAGGAAAGCUACACUGCUACGGUCACUCCAGUGGCCUCCCUGCCAACCCACGGAUGCUCAACACUCCGCACCAUGCAACUCUUCAUAGCCACCAAGAGUUAUGCUGCCUGCUGGCGGCGCCGCCGUCAACUCGGCGCGUGGAGAAGGCCGUCUGG
This is a long non-coding RNA of Schistocerca americana (American grasshopper), 301 nucleotides long. RefSeq lists it as uncharacterized. Lineage: Eukaryota; Metazoa; Arthropoda; Insecta; Orthoptera; Acrididae. The record is from RefSeq and is a predicted model, not a curated record. The transcript has 3 exons.